GUGUACCUACCUGAGGAAGUUCAAGGAGAAGGAGAAGUUGGUUCCUCAGUUGCAUCAACUGCUGCUGGUUCAGCAGCAUCAACUGCUCCAGACAUUGCAUCUCUUGUUGAGAAGGCCUUAGCAAAACUGCCUCCAGAAAUGGCUGCUGAAGCAAAAGAUCCCAAGAGGAAGGCAAAGUCUCGAGACCCUGGAUGGCAGUUUGGAUGGUGGCCAGAUAUUGCAAAGAAGGACUCUGUGCAGUGCAUUUUUUGUAAGACGAUAACUCCUUCAGGAAUCAUUUGGCAGCAGCAGCCAGCAAGACAAGAAAGGGCUCUGCAGCAACCAGGUAA
Molecule: long non-coding RNA, 329 nt
Organism: Panicum virgatum (switchgrass)
Lineage: Eukaryota; Viridiplantae; Streptophyta; Magnoliopsida; Poales; Poaceae
Exons: 2
Source: RefSeq, a predicted model, not a curated record